AGAAAUUGAAACGCCUCUUUUAAGCCACUAAUCAAAGCAAAAAACCUAAGAAAACUGAAAAAAAUCCUAACUCCUAUCGUCAAUCAGAAUCACAUUUCCUCUUUUUUGCAUCUAUAGUAGUUGUGGUGGAGUGUACUAGUUGUGCCUUUUCAUCACUGCAAAAGAGUCUCAUUGAAGCGCUCUCUUAGAUUUCUCCUUAAUCUGAGUUCAUCAGAAGGUGGCGAGAACAGACGCUUUUGUGUUGCAUCCCCGGACUCAGACAAAAAUGUCCUAUUUCUACCGAUUCUAGAGUCUUCUUUGGUCAUUGGCGAUAAUGGGUUCAAUCUUCGUCGGUACUUCUUCAAUCCAAUAGGGAUGGGUUAUCUAGGUUGUAUCCUCGAGUUGCAAGGGCAUGCGCUGCUUCAUUUGUCUUUCGAAGGGUAUACUCAUAGGAUAAGGGUAUCACCUUCGACAACCAGAUCUUGAAAGCCCAUUUCUUCCCUAAAUAUGACGGCCUGUAGACACACCUUCGCUUCAGCAGUGGUCGGAUCCCCUGUUCUUCCUAAUAGGUGUCCAACCCAGCUUCCUGAAGGACCUGUUUUGUGAAUUCUUAAUCUCGAAAGAGGUGUUCUACUGUUUCUUCUUCAACUGAGAAGACUAAACAUGCAGCAUCGUUCUUGAUUCUUCAAAGUCUAAAAGUACUGAGCGUCGGAAGAAAAUUAUUGGCAACUCUCCACAGAUGUAUUUUUAUCUUACUUGGAAUCGGGAGAUUCCAAAUCUUUGUAAAAUAUUAUUUUUUGGUAAUUUGGUCUGUAAUAUAAUCCUGUAGGUGUAGAGUCUUAGUCAUUAGCCGUUUAAAUCCACCUUGAACUGUGUAUUCGCCUGAUUUGUCCCCUCACCAUAUUAGAAUAUCCGGCUGCAUCCUGUUUACCAAAAAGGAAUAGACAGAAUUGCCUUCGCUUUCUCCCUUUCGAGGAUGGGUAGCCAAGCGUCAUUCUAGAUGUUUGUUGAUUCACCAUUCCUUAUCCUCCAGCCUGUUCCUUCUUCAAGUAAACUUCGUGCGUUCCAAAUGCUGCGCCAGGUAAAGGAGGGGGCAACAUGUCUUUGAAGAAGAAGGUUCAUUCCUAAUAUCAAAUUGGUGGAAGAAUGAUCCUAAUUCUUUUCUAUAUUGAUAUCUGUUUUUCUUAAGUUAUUUUCCUACUUUUAAAUCUUGACAAAUUUUUAAUCUUUCUUUUUGGGUGAAACUAAUUAAUUCACCAUAUGUAAGUUUUCAUAUAUAAAAUACCUCUGUAAUUUUCUCUUA
Gossypium arboreum is the source of this 1282-nucleotide long non-coding RNA. RefSeq lists it as uncharacterized. The transcript has 5 exons. The record is from RefSeq and is a predicted model, not a curated record. Lineage: Eukaryota; Viridiplantae; Streptophyta; Magnoliopsida; Malvales; Malvaceae.